RNAcentral lists this ribosomal RNA (586 nucleotides) under uncultured bacterium. RNAcentral's name for it is "partial 16S ribosomal RNA". It matches the Rfam family "Bacterial small subunit ribosomal RNA", at positions 355 to 1375 of the family's 1533-position model. The record is from RNAcentral.
UGGGGAAUUUUGGACAAUGGGCGAAAGCCUGAUCCAGCAAUGCCGCGUGUGUGAAGAAGGCCUUCGGGUUGUAAAGCACUUUUGUCCGGAAAGAAAUCCUUGGCUCUAAUACAGUCGGGGGAUGACGGUACCGGAAGAAUAAGCACCGGCUAACUACGUGCCAGCAGCCGCGGUAAUACGUAGGGUGCAAGCGUUAAUCGGAAUUACUGGGCGUAAAGCGUGCGCAGGCGGUUUGCUAAGACCGAUGUGAAAUCCCCGGGCUCAACCUGGGAACUGCAUUGGUGACUGGCAGGCUAGAGUAUGGCAGAGGGGGGUAGAAUUCCACGUGUAGCAGUGAAAUGCGUAGAGAUGUGGAGGAAUACCGAUGGCGAAGGCAGCCCCCUGGGCCAAUACUGACGCUCAUGCACGAAAGUGUGGGGAGCAAACAGGAUUAGAUACCCUGGUAGUCCACGCCCUAAAACGAUGUCAACUAGUUGUUGGGGAUUCAUUUCCUUAGUAACGUAGCUAACGCGUGAAGUUGACCGCCUGGGGAGUACGGUCGCAAGAUUAAAACUCAAAUGAAUUGACGGGGUCAUAGCUGUUUCCU